RNAcentral lists this ribosomal RNA (508 nucleotides) under Tenualosa ilisha (Hilsa shad). RNAcentral describes it as "partial 12S ribosomal RNA". It matches the Rfam family "Bacterial small subunit ribosomal RNA", at positions 794 to 1533 of the family's 1533-position model. The record is from RNAcentral. Lineage: Eukaryota; Metazoa; Chordata; Actinopteri; Clupeiformes; Clupeidae.
GCCUUGCCGUAAAUUUAGAUGUUUUUCUACAACAAACAUCCGCCUGGGGACUACGAGCGCUAGCUUAAAACCCAAAGGACUUGGCGGUGCUUCAGACCCCCCUAGAGGAGCCUGUUCUAGGACCGAUAACCCCCGUUUAACCUCACUACUCCUUGCUCUCCCCGCCUAUAUACCGCCGUCGCCAGCUUACCCUAUGAAGGCACCACAGUAAGCAGAAUGGGUACUACCCAGAACGUCAGGUCGAGGUGUAGCGUACGAAGUAGGAAGAAAUGGGCUACAUUAUCUGAUACAGAUCACUCACGGAAGGCUGCCUGAAACAGACAGCCCGAAGGCGGAUUUAGCAGUAAGGAAAGACUAGAGCGCUUCCCUGAAGUUGGCUCUGAAGCGCGCACACACCGCCCGUCACUCUCCCCAACAGUACUUGUACUUAGUAUCUAACACAAUAAUAACCGCAAGGGGAGGCAAGUCGUAACAUGGUAAGUGUACCGGAAGGUGCACUUGGAACAAU